CACGUAGGGGGCAAGCGUUGUCCGGAUUUAUUGAGCGUAAAGAGCUCGUAGGCGGCUCAGUAAGUCAGGUGUGAAACCUCCAGGCUCAACCUGGAGACGCCACCUGAUACUGCUGUGGCUAGAGUCCGGUAGGGGAGCGUGGAAUUCCUGGUGUAGCGGUGAAAUGCGCAGAUAUCAGGAGGAACACCAGCGGCGAAGGCGGCGCUCUGGGCCGGAACUGACGCUGAGGAGCGAAAGCGUGGGUAGCAAACAGG
Molecule: ribosomal RNA, 254 nt
Filed under: uncultured bacterium
Lineage: Bacteria
Description: partial 16S ribosomal RNA
Rfam family: Bacterial small subunit ribosomal RNA
Source: RNAcentral